This 2845-nucleotide long non-coding RNA is filed under the name Capsicum annuum. Its description in RNAcentral is "long non-coding RNA (CANN_LNC018798)". The record is from RNAcentral. Lineage: Eukaryota; Viridiplantae; Streptophyta; Magnoliopsida; Solanales; Solanaceae.
UAGAUUCUCUUGUGUGUUGCAUUUUGCUUGAUACGUUGGUUCUUGGGUGGUGGACGUCUCUCUUGUGUUAAUUGUAAGAGUUAGGUGUUUGUUGUGUAAAGUUUUAAAGGUCCAAGAGUGGAAUAUGCUCUUGGGUUGUUAAGACUACAUCAACACUUGUCUAACUACCUAUCUUGUAUCUUGUUUUAGUUUCGGCUUCUUGUGUUGUUAAUGUAACCCAUUUGUUCUUGUUGCUAUUGUAAUAUUGUGGAGCUUCAUCUUGUGUUGCUAAACUUGUUGUUGGCUGGCUGUUUUGGUGUAUUAACACCUUGUAUCCUCUACUUUCUUGUUCUAGAUAGUGAAUCCGAGAGAGGUUCCCAUUUGGUCCACGAUUUGUUGUGAUUUGUGGACUGUUUUGGGGUAUGAUUUUGUGUUUCCUUAUUUGUUUUGUAUCAUUUGAUAUCAAAGCAAGGUUUGAUUUUGUUUCAACAAAAUCAAUCUUGGGAUUGCUAUCUUAAAAAAAAAAAAGUUAUUGUUCACGUUUUUAGGGUCUUUCAAAAAACUUGAUUUUGUGUGUUUCUAGUGUUAGAUCUUGUUCCCUAACACUAUUAGAGUAUAGAAAUUAAAAAUCCCAACAAAAAAGAAGUAUCAAAAUCGAAAAUCCCCCAAAAAAUAUACUAAACCCGUUUUUGACCCUUGGUCAAAUUUUGAGUUUUUGAUUUUGCAUUUUUCUUGUGUUUUUAGUGUUAGAUUUGUGUUCUCUAACACUAUAGGAGUAUAGGGUUCGAAUUUGAGCUAAAUUGGAGGUUAUUCGAUCCUUCCACCGAUGUUGAGCUUGAGUUUGAAGAAACUUGAAGGUGGGAUCUCAUUGUGGGAGGUUGUUUUGAAAUAACGUGUAUUUUGUGUUGUAGGUUUUGCAUUGUAUUGUUGUGUAUGAUGUUGCGGACUGAUUUGGUAUCUUGAUUGGACCGUAACUUGAAGGGUUAUUUUUGAUACCACCACAAUGGAACCCGAGGCUUCAAAUGCUCAAACAAUGGAUAAUAAUGCCAUCAAUCUCAUUUUGGCUCACCUUGAAACUAUGUCCCAAGAUGUGGCUAGGUUGAAUGUGCGUCUUGAGAAAUUAGAUACGGAUGUGGCAUCAAUGAGUGGGAGAUUAGAACGUAUGGAAAUCCAAAGGAGUCGACCUUCUACCCCUCAAAAUAUUUUCCCAACUAAUACUCCUGAGACCUUGCACCAAAUGCAAUAUACACCAAUUGCCAUAAAUCAAACCAAUCUUUACUCCCGAAGCCAAUAACAAGAUAGACCAAGUCAUCCUACACUCCACCAAGUCUAACAAAAAGGGCUUGGAACCAAAAUACCAUCACCAAACCCGAACCCUCCCAUCCAAACUCCACUUGACCAAAGACCUUACUAUCCAAAUCCAAUCCCUCCACUACAAGCUCCACUUAACCCAAAUAGACCCAUCCAUGUUGAGGGUGAACCUUCCCAUUUUCAAAGGUGAGAGUGAUCCCAAAGCCUACCUUGCAUGGGAGUCAUCUUGUGACAAGAUCUUCUAACUUAAUGAUCCCACCGAAGAAAAAAAAGUUGUUAUGCUAUAGCUCACUUCGAAGGGUAUGUUAAUACAUGGUGGGAGUAUGUUAAAUGGUUUGGGAAUGAGAUGAUUGGGGGAUAACCUCCUCCUUGGUUUCGAUUGAAGAACCUUAUCCGACAAAGGUACUUGCCCGAGACUUAUAGGCAUGAGCUUCUUGCUAAAUUGUACAAUUUGAGGCAAGGGAACAAGAAUGUCAUGACUUACUACGAUGAAUUUCAACAAUUGAUGUUGAAACUUGACCACCGAGGCGAGCAAGUAAGUCAUGACAUUGUGCCCUUCAAGGUUGGGUUAAACAAGGAAAUCUCUACUCGCAUGACACUUAACAAAUUCGACACCAUAGAUGGCAUCUUCCAUGUGGCUUUAGAGGUUGAGAGGGAGAUCAAAGAUAACUCAUUCAUGGCUACCCAACCCGAGGCCACCAAGGUUGUCCAAAAACAUCCUCCAAGGUAUGAAGGUAAAUUGAAUUCUACUUCCAAUCCCAAGGAAUUUCAAUGCCUCAAAUGCCAAGGGUGGGGGCGCAAGGCUAGUGAGUGCCCAAACCUGAGGAACGUGAUCCUAAGGGAGGGAAAAUUGUACUAUCUUGGGGAAAAAGUAGUAAUUGAAUCGGCUAAGGUUGAUGGCAAGCCUCAAUAUGGAGAGCAAAAAGAUGUUAAAAUGCAAGGCGAGAAAGAUGUAGAACAUGUGUGGUCGUGUGAAGGAGCUUGUGAAGUGCCUUUGUAAAAGAGGUGAGGUUAUGAAUUUGUGGGAGCUUGUGAAGUGCCUUUGUAAAAGAGGUGAGGUUAUGAAUUUGUGGGAAAAUUUCUCUCAAGAUAGAGAGGAUGAUACAAGUAUGAUCAUGAUCAUGACACUUUUGAGUAUUUUUGAAGACUGGUCACUAAAGGGCCCUUUUGUCAUUUUGUCUAUUAUUGUAAUGUAGUAUAAAUAGAACAUUGUAGGGUUUAUUUCUUUAGUUGAUCAUUAUUAUUGAAGAAUACUUCUCUUAGAGUGAGAGAGAGUCCAAUUGAAACUAGGGCAUAACAUAAGGAUGGAUUAUCUUGUGUGUUGCAUUUUGCUUGAUACGUUGGUGCUUGGGUGGUGGACGCCUCUCUUAUAUCAAUUGUAAGAUUUAGGUGUUUGUUGUGUAAAGUUUUAAAGGUUCAAGAGUGGAAUAUGCUCUUAGGUUGUUAAGACUAGAUUAACACUUAUCUAACUACCUAUCUUGUAUCUUGUUUUAGUUUUGGCUUCUUGUGUUGUUAAUGUAACUCGUUUGUUCUUGUUGCUAUUGUAAUAUUGUGG